AUACGGAGGGUCCAAGCGUUAUCCGGAUUCAUUGGGUUUAAAGGGUGCGCAGGCGGGCUUGUAAGUCAGUGGUGAAAUACUGCCGCUUAACGGUAGAACUGCCAUUGAUACUGCAAGUCUUGAAUAUGGUUGAGGUAGGCGGAAUGUGUUGUGUAGCGGUGAAAUGCAUAGAUAUGACACAGAACGCCAAUUGCGAAGGCAGCUUACUAAGCCAUUAUUGACGCUGAGGCACGAAAGCGUGGGGAGCGAACAGGAUUAGAAACCCCGGUAGUCC
This 274-nucleotide ribosomal RNA is filed under the name uncultured bacterium. Its description in RNAcentral is "partial 16S ribosomal RNA". It matches the Rfam family "Bacterial small subunit ribosomal RNA", at positions 523 to 796 of the family's 1533-position model. The record is from RNAcentral.